AGGCUUAUCAUGUGGACUGAGAGCCGCUGAAGAACUGGGUGGUGAUCUGUUUACAGGCAUGUGGGAGGAAAAGCAGAGGUGAGCAGGUUAUGCACACACCUUGUUGUGGACACAUAGCAACAUUGGAAACAUUUGAAUUCUUAUGCGGAAGAGACAUAUUCAUUUAGAGUGGGUUUUACCUGCAUAAAGCAUCCCGAAGUAUCACAGCUAGUACAAGGCUUCAUCCCUAUAUCUGUCACGGAUCUGCUCUGGAGAUGAAGCAGCACUGAGGAGAACUGGUGGAUGGUAACUGCAGAGCUCUAGCUCACUUGUUGAAAAGAUGCAAGAUGCAUAAGCAAAGUACAAUGUGGUUUGUUCUUGAAUUAAACAAUUCGGUGUUUGGACCUAAUCUGAACCACGUCGCUACUUUAGGUGGUGUUUUGCUUCUCAAAAGAUCACGAACUGCUCGUUCUCUGUGUGGCCCACGGAGGUGACAAGAUGGGAGAACUGAAGGAACAGAGAUGUGAAGUUAUCUCUCAAAGCGGUAAAGGAGGCCAGUGGCAAAUGCAGGAAUAGAAACCAAGUCUCUUUAGUGGCAUCCUAAUGCAGUCUAGUACUCUAAUCAACAAGAAACUUUGCCUUCUGAUGUUACAAUGAGAAUGAACCCUCAAGUCACGGCUGAGGUGGUUGUUUGAAACAAGAAACAGAUACCUUCCUGGUGUCACUCGUUUCACCGAUCACUGGGAAUCUGAGCCUGAAUGAAGGUGAAGGAAGACUCCUACAGAGAACUGGGAACGGUUUGUCCCUUAAGAAGGGAAUAAUGGCAUUUUUAAUGUUUUUACCAAAUACCAAGGCAUGUGAUAAAAGUUUAUGGAUUGGGAAUUAAUUGAAAGAUUGUGAAAUGGGAAAAAAUGUGCAUUACAGGAAGCCUUGGAGAGCUACAACCUAAGCACCCUGAAAUUUGUGACCGAACCCACAGAAUAUCUCUUGAGUUAUUGGAACCAUCUCAGAUGACUGUUUAUGACAUUUUUUGAUAUAAUUUACCAGCCCCAGUAAGCUCCCCCAGACAGACUGGGAAAAGACGUUCCUUUUAUUAAUGUUAGUCCAGGGGACUGAAGUAUAUUCGGGGUAGUGAAACAUUUAGUUUAUGGAAUUAGCUACAGAAUUCAGAUUAAAAAAAAAAAAAGGCAGCGUGAGUUUGUACCUGGGAGGUGGUACAUGUUUUAAAAAAUGCUGUUCAAAAGAUAAUGUGCUUGUAUCUAAACUCUGUUAUCUGCAACAUAAAGGUUUACAGUUUUAUAUGUAUUAAAUAACACAUCUAUGAGAUGAAAUGUGAAAUGUGUAACUAAAAGAAUUACUGUAAGUGUAGAACUGUGUAAAUAUUAUCUAAAUCAUAUGUGUAAACAUUAAAUAAACUGUUUCAUUUCUAGAGGUUACAGAAAACACUUUAAAAUUUUAUACAGUCUUCCCCCCGACCCACUAGUUUUUAAUAUAAUUGCAGUUCAACGGCUAAUCUGUCUAUUCAUUUUUUAAUAUUUGCAGUUGUGCUAAAUUUUAUUAAGGAACAAUUUAGUUUGGGGAAACCAUUACACUUUAUCCCAACUGUGGUUCUUGUUGUUUGAACAAGAAGUUCCUGAGUAUUUGCCCCAAAUACCAAUAUUUUUACUCCACUGGCAG
Molecule: long non-coding RNA, 1656 nt
Organism: Grus americana (Whooping crane)
Lineage: Eukaryota; Metazoa; Chordata; Aves; Gruiformes; Gruidae
Exons: 5
Source: RefSeq, a predicted model, not a curated record